AUUGAACGCAGGCGGCAGGCUUAACACAUGCAAGUCGAGCGGAGAUGAGGUGCUUGCACCUUAUCUUAGCGGCGGACGGGUGAGUAAUGCUUAGGAAUCUGCCUAGUGGUGGGGGAUAACGUUCGGAAACGGACGCUAAUACCGCAUACGUCCUACGGGAGAAAGCGGGGGAUCUUCGGACCUCGCGCCAUUAGAUGAGCCUAGGUCGGAUUAGCUAGUUGGUGGGGUAAUGGCCCACCAAGGCGACGAUCCGUAGCUGGUCUGAGAGGACGACCAGCCACACUGGGACUGAGACACGGCCCAGACUCCUACGGGAGGCAGCAGUGGGGAAUUUUGGACAAUGGGGGCAACCCCGAUCCAGCAAUGCCGCGUGUGUGAAGAAGGCCUGAGGGUUGUAAAGCACUUUCAGUAGUGAGGAGAGAUGAGAGGUUAAGAGCCACUUAUUGAGACGUUAGCUACAGAAGAAGCACCGGCUAACUCCGUGCCAGCCGCCGCGGUAA
Molecule: ribosomal RNA, 500 nt
Filed under: uncultured bacterium
Lineage: Bacteria
Description: partial 16S ribosomal RNA
Rfam family: Bacterial small subunit ribosomal RNA
Source: RNAcentral